UGCCUGGCGGCUCUAGCGCGGUGGUCCCACCUGACCCCAUGCCGAACUCAGAAGUGAAACGCCGUAGCGCCGAUGGUAGUGUGGGGUCUCCCCAUGUGAGAGUAGGGAACUGCCAGGCAU
RNAcentral lists this ribosomal RNA (120 nucleotides) under Erwinia sp. 9145. Lineage: Bacteria; Pseudomonadati; Pseudomonadota; Gammaproteobacteria; Enterobacterales; Erwiniaceae. The record is from RNAcentral.